GCCUUGAUAGCUCAGUUGGCUAGAGCGUUGGUCUCAUACAGUGUGACCCGGGUUCGACUCCCGGUUACAAACUUGUAUGACCAGAUCAUCAUCCUUGGGAUAUCCAGAGGUCACGGGUUCGAGCCCCGUUCGAGGCA
Molecule: transfer RNA, 137 nt
Filed under: Haematococcus lacustris
Lineage: Eukaryota; Viridiplantae; Chlorophyta; Chlorophyceae; Chlamydomonadales; Haematococcaceae
Description: Haematococcus pluvialis tRNA
Rfam family: tRNA
About the family: Transfer RNA (tRNA) molecules are approximately 80 nucleotides in length. Their secondary structure includes four short double-helical elements and three loops (D, anti-codon, and T loops).
Source: Rfam by way of RNAcentral